This is a non-coding RNA of Podarcis lilfordi (Lilford's wall lizard), 106 nucleotides long. The record is from the annotation of a GenBank genome assembly. NCBI's taxonomy places the organism in Eukaryota, Metazoa, Chordata, Lepidosauria, Squamata, Lacertidae.
UGUCCAGUAGCACCUUCGAGACCAACUAAGUUUGUUCUGGGUAUAAGCUUUCGUGUGCACUUAUACCCAGAACAAACUGAGUUGAUCUCUAAGGUGCUACUGGACA